Molecule: long non-coding RNA, 144 nt
Organism: Sander lucioperca (pikeperch)
Lineage: Eukaryota; Metazoa; Chordata; Actinopteri; Perciformes; Percidae
Exons: 4
Source: RefSeq, a predicted model, not a curated record
GUAAACGUACACAGCACUUUCUAACUCCUGUGUUUGACCCAUCCUCCACACCGACCAACCUCCCUACGCAGAUUUUUGCCUUUUCAUGCUACUCGCUACGACGUCAAUUCACACGCAAUCGCAAGGUAAUGUAACAGACACACA